ACUGGGUUGGCCGAGUGGUUAAGGCGUUGGACUUAAGAUCCAAUGGACAAGUGUCCGCGUGGGUUCGAACCCCACACCCAGUA
This is a non-coding RNA of Ciona savignyi (Pacific transparent sea squirt), 83 nucleotides long. NCBI's taxonomy places the organism in Eukaryota, Metazoa, Chordata, Ascidiacea, Phlebobranchia, Cionidae. The record is from Rfam.